Molecule: transfer RNA, 74 nt
Filed under: Rikenellaceae bacterium
Lineage: Bacteria; Pseudomonadati; Bacteroidota; Bacteroidia; Bacteroidales; Rikenellaceae
Description: tRNA-Met
Rfam family: tRNA
About the family: Transfer RNA (tRNA) molecules are approximately 80 nucleotides in length. Their secondary structure includes four short double-helical elements and three loops (D, anti-codon, and T loops). Further hydrogen bonds mediate the characteristic L-shaped molecular structure. tRNAs have two regions of fundamental functional importance: the anti-codon, which is responsible for specific mRNA codon recognition, and the 3' end, to which the tRNAs corresponding amino acid is attached (by aminoacyl-tRNA synthetases). tRNAs cope with the degeneracy of the genetic code in two manners: having more than one tRNA (with a specific anti-codon) for a particular amino acid; and 'wobble' base-pairing, i.e. permitting non-standard base-pairing at the 3rd anti-codon position.
Source: RNAcentral
CGCGGGAUAGAGCAGUUGUUAGCUCGUCAGGCUCAUAACCUGAAGGUCGUGUGGUUCGAGUCCCACUCCCGCUA